Molecule: ribosomal RNA, 429 nt
Filed under: Gemmatimonadota bacterium
Lineage: Bacteria; Pseudomonadati; Gemmatimonadota
Description: Gemmatimonadetes bacterium partial 16S ribosomal RNA
Rfam family: Bacterial small subunit ribosomal RNA
Source: RNAcentral
UAGGGAAUCUUCGGCAAUGGACGAAAGUCUGACCGAGCAACGCCGCGUGAGUGAAGAAGGUUUUCGGAUCGUAAAACUCUGUUGUUAGAGAAGAACAAGGACGUUAGUAACUGAACGUCCCCUGACGGUAUCUAACCAGAAAGCCACGGCUAACUACGUGCCAGCAGCCGCGGUAAUACGUAGGUGGCAAGCGUUGUCCUGAUUUAUUGGGCGUAAAGCGAGCGCAGGCGGUUUCUUAAGUCAGAUGUGAAAGCCCCCGGCUCAACCGGGGAGGGUCAUUGGAAACUGGGAGAAUUGAGUGCAGAAGAGGAGAGUGGAAUUCCAUGUGUAGCGGUGAAAUGCAUAGAUAUAUGGAGGAAAACCAGUGGCGAAGGCGGGUCUCUGGUCUGUAACUGACGCUGAGGCUCGAAAGCGUGGGGAGCAAACAGG